AACUAAUAAGUAUAAAAAUACAUUUGUUUUGAAAACAAAAAAUGAUCUUUAUCAUUAGUUU
RNAcentral lists this transfer RNA (61 nucleotides) under Trinorchestia longiramus. RNAcentral describes it as "tRNA-Ser". The record is from RNAcentral. Lineage: Eukaryota; Metazoa; Arthropoda; Malacostraca; Amphipoda; Talitridae.